RNAcentral lists this small nuclear RNA (20 nucleotides) under Arabidopsis thaliana (thale cress). RNAcentral describes it as "snRNA_00580". The record is from RNAcentral. Lineage: Eukaryota; Viridiplantae; Streptophyta; Magnoliopsida; Brassicales; Brassicaceae.
AAUUCCGUCCAAGGCUAAAU